RNAcentral lists this ribosomal RNA (2992 nucleotides) under Salmonella enterica subsp. enterica serovar Typhimurium. Its description in RNAcentral is "23S ribosomal RNA". It matches the Rfam family "Bacterial large subunit ribosomal RNA". Lineage: Bacteria; Pseudomonadati; Pseudomonadota; Gammaproteobacteria; Enterobacterales; Enterobacteriaceae. The record is from RNAcentral.
GGUUAAGCGACUAAGCGUACACGGUGGAUGCCCUGGCAGUCAGAGGCGAUGAAGGACGUGCUAAUCUGCGAUAAGCGCCGGUAAGGUGAUAUGAACCGUUAUAACCGGCGAUUUCCGAAUGGGGAAACCCAGUGUGAUUCGUCACACUAUCAUUAACUGAAUCCAUAGGUUAAUGAGGCGAACCGGGGGAACUGAAACAUCUAAGUACCCCGAGGAAAAGAAAUCAACCGAGAUUCCCCCAGUAGCGGCGAGCGAACGGGGAGGAGCCCAGAGCCUGAAUCAGCAUGUGUGUUAGUGGAAGCGUCUGGAAAGGCGCGCGAUACAGGGUGACAGCCCCGUACACAAAAGCGCAUGUGCUGUGAGCUCGAUGAGUAGGGCGGGACACGUGGUAUCCUGUCUGAAUAUGGGGGGACCAUCCUCCAAGGCUAAAUACUCCUGACUGACCGAUAGUGAACCAGUACCGUGAGGGAAAGGCGAAAAGAACCCCGGCGAGGGGAGUGAAAAAGAACCUGAAACCGUGUACGUACAAGCAGUGGGAGCACAGGUUUACCUGUGUGACUGCGUACCUUUUGUAUAAUGGGUCAGCGACUUAUAUUCUGUAGCAAGGUUAACCGUAUAGGGGAGCCGGAGGGAAACCGAGUCUUAAUUGGGCGUUAAGUUGCAGGGUAUAGACCCGAAACCCGGUGAUCUAGCCAUGGGCAGGUUGAAGGUUGGGUAACACUAACUGGAGGACCGAACCGACUAAUGUUGAAAAAUUAGCGGAUGACCUGUGGCUGGGGGUGAAAGGCCAAUCAAACCGGGAGAUAGCUGGUUCUCCCCGAAAGCUAUUUAGGUAGCGCCUCGUGAAUUCAUCUCCGGGGGUAGAGCACUGUUUCGGCUAGGGGGCCAUCCCGGCUUACCAACCCGAUGCAAACUGCGAAUACCGGAGAAUGUUAUCACGGGAGACACACGGCGGGUGCUAACGUCCGUCGUGAAGAGGGAAACAACCCAGACCGCCAGCUAAGGUCCCAAAGUCAUGGUUAAGUGGGAAACGAUGUGGGAAGGCCCAGACAGCCAGGAUGUUGGCUUAGAAGCAGCCAUCAUUUAAAGAAAGCGUAAUAGCUCACUGGUCGAGUCGGCCUGCGCGGAAGAUGUAACGGGGCUAAACCAUGCACCGAAGCUGCGGCAGCGAACGUAUCACCCAAGACAACUUUACGGAGUUGACGAUUGACGGAGCGAAGCGACGUCAAAGCGUUCAUUAAAGUCGAGUUGGCUUAGGGAUACGUUCGUUGGGUAGGGGAGCGUUCUGUAAGCCUGUGAAGGUGUGUCGUGAGGCAUGCUGGAGGUAUCAGAAGUGCGAAUGCUGACAUAAGUAACGAUAAAGCGGGUGAAAAGCCCGCUCGCCGGAAGACCAAGGGUUCCUGUCCAACGUUAAUCGGGGCAGGGUGAGUCGACCCCUAAGGCGAGGCCGAAAGGCGUAGUCGAUGGGAAACGGGUUAAUAUUCCCGUACUUGGUGUUACUGCGAAGGGGGGACGGAGAAGGCUAUGUUGGCCGGGCGACGGUUGUCCCGGUUUAAGCGUGUAGGUGUGUGUUCCAGGUAAAUCCGGUUCACUUUAACACUGAGGCGUGACGACGAGGCACUACGGUGCUGAAGCAACAAAUGCCCUGCUUCCAGGAAAAGCCUCUAAGCAUCAGGUAACACGAAAUCGUACCCCAAACCGACACAGGUGGUCAGGUAGAGAAUACCAAGGCGCUUGAGAGAACUCGGGUGAAGGAACUAGGCAAAAUGGUGCCGUAACUUCGGGAGAAGGCACGCUGACACGUAGGUGAAGUGAUUUACUCAUGGAGCUGAAGUCAGUCGAAGAUACCAGCUGGCUGCAACUGUUUAUUAAAAACACAGCACUGUGCAAACACGAAAGUGGACGUAUACGGUGUGACGCCUGCCCGGUGCCGGAAGGUUAAUUGAUGGGGUCAGCGCAAGCGAAGCUCCUGAUCGAAGCCCCGGUAAACGGCGGCCGUAACUAUAACGGUCCUAAGGUAGCGAAAUUCCUUGUCGGGUAAGUUCCGACCUGCACGAAUGGCGUAAUGAUGGCCAGGCUGUCUCCACCCGAGACUCAGUGAAAUUGAACUCGCUGUGAAGAUGCAGUGUACCCGCGGCAAGACGGAAAGACCCCGUGAACCUUUACUAUAGCUUGACACUGAACAUUGAGCCUUGAUGUGUAGGAUAGGUGGGAGGCUUUGAAGCGUGGACGCCAGUCUGCGUGGAGCCGACCUUGAAAUACCACCCUUUAAUGUUUGAUGUUCUAACGUGGACCCGUGAUCCGGGUUGCGGACAGUGUCUGGUGGGUAGUUUGACUGGGGCGGUCUCCUCCUAAAGAGUAACGGAGGAGCACGAAGGUUGGCUAAUCCUGGUCGGACAUCAGGAGGUUAGUGCAAUGGCAUAAGCCAGCUUGACUGCGAGCGUGACGGCGCGAGCAGGUGCGAAAGCAGGUCAUAGUGAUCCGGUGGUUCUGAAUGGAAGGGCCAUCGCUCAACGGAUAAAAGGUACUCCGGGGAUAACAGGCUGAUACCGCCCAAGAGUUCAUAUCGACGGCGGUGUUUGGCACCUCGAUGUCGGCUCAUCACAUCCUGGGGCUGAAGUAGGUCCCAAGGGUAUGGCUGUUCGCCAUUUAAAGUGGUACGCGAGCUGGGUUUAGAACGUCGUGAGACAGUUCGGUCCCUAUCUGCCGUGGGCGCUGGAGAACUGAGGGGGGCUGCUCCUAGUACGAGAGGACCGGAGUGGACGCAUCACUGGUGUUCGGGUUGUCAUGCCAAUGGCACUGCCCGGUAGCUAAAUGCGGAAGAGAUAAGUGCUGAAAGCAUCUAAGCACGAAACUUGCCCCGAGAUGAGUUCUCCCUGAGACUUAGAGUCUCCUGAAGGAACGUUGAAGACGACGACGUUGAUAGGCCGGGUGUGUAAGCGCAGCGAUGCGUUGAGCUAACCGGUACUAAUGAACCGUGAGGCUUAACCUU